GCACUACAAAAAAUCCACUGACCCACGAAUAAGCACUGCAAGUGACGAUAAGCCGAAUUUGACCCGUGCAUCCAAAAAGGUUUGCCAUCGCUGGCCUAGAACAUCUUUUGGAUAAACCAAACAUUUUCAAUGUCCUUAUAAAGUUCAUUAGAGAAAUUGAUGCUCUUUCUAUUGACUCAAGAUUCUGGGAUCAGCUGACAAUUAUUCAGUAAUUGGUUGUGAUUGGGAGACAGUUAGCUUGUUACUGUGACUCCUGUUUGCUGUGGCUGUGUUAUAAUACUUUAACAUAUAUUUUCCCAUUUUCUUUGAUUAUUGCUUAUCUGUGCUCCUAAGACUGAAUUUUUGAUUACUUUUCUCAAGAAUUUAAUAAAUGUUGUACUUUAGCUGGAGUAUUGGACUCUCUUCAGGACUGCUGCAGUAUUUACCUGGAAGUGUGUCUUUCACCAACUGUGCAUUAAUGUUCCCAAUGUUUUCUUGACUCCUCUUCAGUGUUACUACUUUGUUAGACUUUGUGACAAACUGUCUUUGAAUAUAUUAUAGCCCUUCUGACUAUGGUGUCCGGACUUUCUACUGGACCAUGCCUCUCUGAAGCUGCACUGUAUGUAUCUUUUGGUCAUCUAAUUUAUUUUUGUUACACUUUUAAAUGGAAUAUAUGUGAGCCCAUUUUAAAUGGAUUAUUGUUUUUAUGAAUAUUUUGUUUAUUUAAUUACAUUGGUACUCAACGGAGCUCAUGGGACUUUUGUUCUUUCUCUCUUUUCUUUUCGAGUAAUGGCCUGCCUUAUUUCUUCAGGAAGGAAUCUUUCCCUCUUUCUCUUUGUUCUUCUAUAUUGUUCUAAAUUCAUAUUUCAUUUUUUUAUAGAUCAAAUCUUUGAGUGUACCUGCUGUCUCUGUCUUGCUAUAACCUAAAGCAGUGGUUCUCAACUGCCGUUCUGCGGAACACUGGUGUUCCGCGAACCUAUUCAAGAUGUUCCGCACAAUA
RNAcentral lists this long non-coding RNA (979 nucleotides) under Androctonus crassicauda. The record is from RNAcentral. Lineage: Eukaryota; Metazoa; Arthropoda; Arachnida; Scorpiones; Buthidae.